RNAcentral lists this ribosomal RNA (447 nucleotides) under uncultured bacterium. RNAcentral describes it as "partial 16S ribosomal RNA". It matches the Rfam family "Bacterial small subunit ribosomal RNA", at positions 29 to 523 of the family's 1533-position model. The record is from RNAcentral.
AACGAACGCUGGCGGCAGGCCUAACACAUGCAAGUCGAGCGCCCCGCAAGGGGAGCGGCGGACGGGUGAGUAACGCGUGGGAACGUGCCCUCUGCUACGGAAUAGCCCCGGGAAACUGGGAGUAAUACCGUAUAAGCCCUACGGGGGAAAGAUUUAUCGGCAAAGGAUCGGCCCGCGUUGGAUUAGGUAGUUGGUGGGGUAAUGGCCUACCAAGCCGACGAUCCAUAGCUGGUUUGAGAGGAUGAUCAGCCACACUGGGACUGAGACACGGCCCAGACUCCUACGGGAGGCAGCAGUGGGGAAUCUUAGACAAUGGGCGCAAGCCUGAUCUAGCCAUGCCGCGUGAGCGAUGAAGGCCUUAGGGUUGUAAAGCUCUUUCGUGGGGGAAGAUAAUGACUGUACCCCAAGAAGAAGCCCCGGCUAACUCCGUGCCAGCCGCCGCGGUAA